AGUGAACGCUGGCGGUAGGCCUAACACAUGCAAGUCGAACGGCAGCACAUUAAGAGCUUGCUCUUACGGGUGGCGAGUGGCGGACGGGUGAGGAAUACAUCGGAAUCUACUUUUUCGUGGGGGAUAACGUAGGGAAACUUACGCUAAUACCGCAUACGACCUACGGGUGAAAGCAGGGGAUCUUCGGACCUUGCGCGAUUGAAUGAGCCGAUGUCGGAUUAGCUAGUUGGCGGGGUAAAGGCCCACCAAGGCGACGAUCCGUAGCUGGUCUGAGAGGAUGAUCAGCCACACUGGAACUGAGACACGGUCCAGACUCCUACGGGAGGCAGCAGUGGGGAAUAUUGGACAAUGGGCGCAAGCCUGAUCCAGCCAUACCGCGUGGGUGAAGAAGGCCUUCGGGUUGUAAAGCCCUUUUGUUGGGAAAGAAAAGCAGCAGGUUAAUACCCCGCUGUUCUGACGGUACCCAAAGAAUAAGCACCGGCUAACUUCGUG
RNAcentral lists this ribosomal RNA (492 nucleotides) under uncultured bacterium. RNAcentral describes it as "partial 16S ribosomal RNA". It matches the Rfam family "Bacterial small subunit ribosomal RNA", at positions 29 to 507 of the family's 1533-position model. The record is from RNAcentral.